CCUACGGGAGGCAGCAGUGGGGAAUAUUGGGCAAUGGGCGCAAGCCUGACCCAGCAACGCCGCGUGAAGGAAGAAGGCUUUCGGGUUGUAAACUUCUUUUUAGGGGGAAGAGCAGAAGACGGUACCCCUUGAAUAAGCCACGGCUAACUACGUGCCAGCAGCCGCGGUAAUACGAAGGGGGCAAGCGUUAUCCGGAUUUACUGGGUGUAAAGGGAGCGUAGGCGGUGAUGCAAGUCAGAAGUGAAAGCCCGCAGCUCAACUGCGGGACUGCUUUUGAAACUGUAUGACUAGAUUGCAGGAGAGGUAAGUGGAAUGCCUGGUGUAGCGGUGAAAUGCGUAGAUAUUAGGAGGAACACCAGUGGCGAAGGCGGCUUACUGGACUGUAAAUGACGCUGAGGCUCGAAAGCGUGGGGAGCAAACAGGAUUAGAUACCCCAGUAGUC
This 442-nucleotide ribosomal RNA is filed under the name uncultured bacterium. RNAcentral's name for it is "partial 16S ribosomal RNA". It matches the Rfam family "Bacterial small subunit ribosomal RNA", at positions 338 to 795 of the family's 1533-position model. The record is from RNAcentral.